RNAcentral lists this non-coding RNA (208 nucleotides) under Clostridiales bacterium. Its description in RNAcentral is "T-box sequence". It matches the Rfam family "T-box leader". Rfam says of the family: Uncharged tRNA acts as the effector for transcription antitermination of genes in the T-box leader family. T-boxes are found upstream of many aminoacyl-tRNA synthetase genes and some amino acid biosynthetic genes usually in Gram-positive bacteria. The anticodon of a specific tRNA base pairs to a specifier sequence within the T-box motif, and the NCCA acceptor tail of the tRNA base pairs to a conserved bulge in the T-box antiterminator hairpin. Lineage: Bacteria; Bacillati; Bacillota; Clostridia; Eubacteriales. The record is from RNAcentral.
AAAUAAGCGUUGAUAUGGUGUAAGUAGACAGGAUUUGCGUUUUAAGAGAGUGUGCGGUGGGUGCAAGCACAUAGCGCGGUUUUAUCGAAUUUCAGCCAUGGAGCUCUUUGCGAGAAACUAAGCAAAGCGUCGUGUCGCGUUAAGGCAAUCGAGCGGCAAUUUUUAUAAUUGCAAUUUGAGUGGUACCACGGAUUAUUCCGCCUCAUAU